Molecule: long non-coding RNA, 694 nt
Filed under: Equus caballus (horse)
Lineage: Eukaryota; Metazoa; Chordata; Mammalia; Perissodactyla; Equidae
Description: lncRNA (ENSECAG00000052633.1)
Source: RNAcentral
CACCCAUGGUGGACAGGUUUCAGCAGAGCUUCCAGACUAAGACCAGCUAGGAAGAAGGACAUGGCCACCUACCUCUGUAAAAAUUUGCCAUGAAAACCCUAUGAAUAGCAGCAGAGCAUUGUCUUACAUAGCACUGGAAGGUGAGAGGAUGGCGCAAAAAGACCGCACAGGGCUCCACACUUCUCUACACGUGGUUGCUAGGAGUCAGGAUCAACUGGAUGGCACUAACAACAGAAUCAUUCUGUAAAGUGAGAACAUUAAAGUCAUAUCCUUUUUUUUUUUUAAUCUCAAAGCUUUGUGAAGGUUUAAGGGUUGCUUUCACACCUAAAUACGAGAGUGUGACGUCGAGAGUUGGUGUAAAAGACCAUAGGGCCCACAGGACAAAGAGAAUGGCUUCCUUAUGGCAGCCAUGACUGAAACUACAUCUGCCUCACCCUGACUUGUGGACAGUCAGCAGCCUGAUUCAAAUUGAAGAUCAUCUGGCAUGGGGCCUGACCUACUGAAAUAAGCAAAGGAAGAUUAGCCCUGAGCUAACAUGUGCUGCCAAUCCUCCUCUUUUUGCUGAGGAAGACUGGCCCUGAGGUUAGAAAUUUAGAAGAAGCUCAGCGGGGCAAUUGGUCUCUAACUCAUGUGGUGUCAGCUGCAGCAUCAAGGCUGGAAGAUCCCCUUCCACAGUGGCUUCUUCAUUCACACG